GAGUUUGAUCCUGGCUCAGAACGAACGCUGGCGGCGUGCUUAACACAUGCAAGUCAGGGAGAAAGUCUCUUCGGGGAUGAUUAAACCGGCGCACGGGUGAGUAACACGUGAGUGACCUGCCUUUUAGACUGGGACAACUUACCGAAAGGUGAGCUAAUGCCGGAUGAGUUAUAUAAGUGCAUGUUUAUAUAGGAAAAGUUGGGGAGACCUGACGCUGAAAGAUGGACUCGCGUCCCAUUAGCUAGUUGGUAGGGUAAUGGCCUACCAAGGCGACGAUGGGUAGCCGGCCUGAGAGGGUGGCCGGCCACACUGGGACUGAGACACGGCCCAGACUCCUACGGGAGGCAGCAGUGGGGAAUUUUGCGCAAUGCUCGUAAGAGUGACGCAGCGACGCCGCGUGAAUGACGAAGGCCUUCGGGUCGUAAAGUUCUUUCGACAGGGAAGAAAAUGCCUAUAAGUAACUGUGUAUGUAUUGACGGUACCUGUAUAAGCAGCCCCGGCUAACUCCGUGCCAGCAGCCGCGGUAAUACGGAGGGGGCGAGCGUUGUUCGGAGUGACUGGGCGUAAAGAGCACGUAGGCGGUGUUGUAAGUCAUUAGUCAAAGACUAGAGCUCAACUUUAGUAAGGCUAGUGAUACUAUAAUACUAGAGUAUCAGAGAGGAUUGCAGAAUUCCUGGUGUAGCGGUGAAAUGCGUAGAUAUCAGGAGGAAUACCGUUAGCG
Molecule: ribosomal RNA, 721 nt
Filed under: uncultured bacterium
Lineage: Bacteria
Description: bacterial SSU rRNA
Rfam family: Bacterial small subunit ribosomal RNA
Source: RNAcentral